GCCGAUGUAGCUCAGCUGGUAGAGCAGCUGCUUCGUAAGUAGCGGGUCGGAGGUUCAAAUCCUCUCAUCGGCU
Molecule: transfer RNA, 73 nt
Filed under: Candidatus Parendomicrobium reticulitermitis
Lineage: Bacteria; Pseudomonadati; Elusimicrobiota; Endomicrobiia; Endomicrobiales; Endomicrobiaceae
Description: tRNA-Thr
Rfam family: tRNA
About the family: Transfer RNA (tRNA) molecules are approximately 80 nucleotides in length.
Source: RNAcentral